CACCCCGCCACCACCCCGUUCACCCCAUCCCCUUCACCUCCCCUGCCGUCACCACGGCCGCCAUUUCCACCUCCGUCCUCUUCACUGCGGCAAUCCCCGCCCCCCCAUCUCCGUGGCCGCAAUCACCCCCACUACCCUCUCUCUCCCCUGCAUUCCCAUCCGUUCUCACCUGCACAGCUGUGCCGCCGUUGCCCCUGACGUCGCCUGAGUCGCCGUCACCUGAGCCAUCAUCACCACCACCCCCUUCAACCCAUCCCCUUCACCUCCCCUGCCGUCACCACGGCCGCCAUUUCCACCUCCUUCCUCUUCACUGCGGCAAUCCCCGGCCCCCCAUCUCCGUGACCUCUCUCCCCUGCAUUCCCAUCCGUUCUCACCUGCACCUCCGUCGCCAACCGUUCCUUCUUCAGUGGCAACAAUACGGAUCUCCACCUCUCCAUCCGCCCCAAUGUGUCCAGGUGAUCCGUCACCUGGGAAUAGCAGGGCAUACGUCCACGACACCAUGAAGGGUUCAUCGUCAUCCCCGCAGUCGCAUGUGAUCACAUGAUGGCAGCUCCGGUGACGGCGACUCAGGCCACGUCAUUGGCAACAUGACGCG
This 595-nucleotide long non-coding RNA is filed under the name Volvox carteri. RNAcentral describes it as "long non-coding RNA (VCAR_LNC003812)". The record is from RNAcentral. Lineage: Eukaryota; Viridiplantae; Chlorophyta; Chlorophyceae; Chlamydomonadales; Volvocaceae.